Molecule: ribosomal RNA, 479 nt
Filed under: uncultured anaerobic ammonium-oxidizing bacterium
Lineage: Bacteria
Description: bacterial SSU rRNA
Rfam family: Bacterial small subunit ribosomal RNA
Source: RNAcentral
UUUCGCAAUGCCCGAAAGGGUGACGAAGCGACGCCGCGUGAGCGAAGAAGGCCUUAGGGUUGUAAAGCUCUGUCGAGGGUUAUGAAAUAUAGAUGAGCUAAUACCUCAUUUAUUUGACAAAGGCCCCAAAGGAAGUCACGGCUAACUCUGUGCCAGCAGCCGCGGUAAUACAGAGGUGGCAAGCGUUGUUCGGUAUUAUUGGGCGUAAAGAGCACGUAGGUGGUUUUGUAAGUCAGGUGUGAAAGCCUUCUGUUCAAAGGAAGAACGGCAUCUGAAACUGCAGAUCUUGAGUGUAGGAGGGGAGAGUGGAACUUCUGGUGGAGCGGUGAAAUGCGUAGAUAUCAGAAGGAACGCCGGCGGCGAAAGCGAUUCUCUGGCCUAUUACUGACACUCAGUGUGCGAAAGCUAGGGGAGCAAACGGGAUUAGAUACCCCGGUAGUCCUAGCCGUAAACGAUGGGCACUAAGUAGAGGGGUUUUA